AUAUAAUUAUUUUCUGAAUUUCUGAGAAAAAGCUUAAAAUUUUGUUUCACUGUUUUGUAAAUCAGUUUUGGUUUUAAUGAGCAAAUGAAAUUUAUUCUGCGCGUUUUACUUUUUACUUAUUUUUUCUUCUUUACUCACUUUUUUUUAAAGUUACAAAAAUCAACUGAAAUGAAGAAACGAUUGAUAUUGAUGUUUUUCAAGAAAGGUUAAUAAAUAGAAAGUAGAGAAUGGUCAGCAUUCUAUGAAUUAGAUUUUAAUUGUUCAUGGAGGAUAAUUCUCAACCUGGGAAGUUUUUGAAAUACUGGUACACUUUAAGAAGAUAUAAGUGGGUAAUUCUUUUCCCUACAGUAUCAUUCUCACUCAUCUACUUCGAUUUCACUCGCACUCUGAAGUAUAAGGCUGAAAAAGCUAAGUUAGCAGCUGUAGCUUACUAAAUUCUCUG
Molecule: long non-coding RNA, 442 nt
Organism: Argiope bruennichi
Lineage: Eukaryota; Metazoa; Arthropoda; Arachnida; Araneae; Araneidae
Exons: 2
Source: RefSeq, a predicted model, not a curated record